This 468-nucleotide ribosomal RNA is filed under the name uncultured bacterium. RNAcentral's name for it is "partial 16S ribosomal RNA". It matches the Rfam family "Bacterial small subunit ribosomal RNA", at positions 28 to 507 of the family's 1533-position model. The record is from RNAcentral.
GACGAACGCUGGCGGCGUGCUUAACACAUGCAAGUCGAACGGAAAGGCCCUGCUUUUGUGGGGUGCUCGAGUGGCGAACGGGUGAGUAACACGUGAGUAACCUGCCCUUGACUUUGGGAUAACUUCAGGAAACUGGGGCUAAUACCGGAUAGGAGCUCCUGCUGCAUGGUGGGGGUUGGAGAGUUUCGGCGGUUGGGGAUGGACUCGCGGCUUAUCAGCUUGGUGGUGGGGUAGUGGCUUACCAAGGCUUUGACGGGUAGCCGGCCUGAGAGGGUGACCGGCCACAUUGGGACUGAGAUACGGCCCAGACUCCUACGGGAGGCAGCAGUGGGGAAUAUUGCACAAUGGGCGGAAGCCUGAUGCAGCAACGCCGCGUGCGGGAUGACGGCCUUCGGGUUGUAAACCGCUUUCGCCUGUGACGAAGCGUGAGUGACGGUAAUGGGUAAAGAAGCACCGGCUAACUACGUG